GACGAACGCUGGCGGCGUGCUUAACACAUGCAAGUCGAACGGGAAGGCCCUGCUUGCAGGGUAUUCGAGUGGCGAACGGGUGAGUAACACGUGGGUGAUCUGCCCUGCACUUCGGGAUAAGCCUGGGAAACUGGGUCUAAUACCGGAUAGGAGCCAUUUUUAGUGUGAUGGUUGGAAAGUUUUUUCGGUGUAGGAUGAGCUCGCGGCCUAUCAGCUUGUUGGUGGGGUAAUGGCCUACCAAGGCGGCGACGGGUAGCCGGCCUGAGAGGGUGGACGGCCACAUUGGGACUGAGAUACGGCCCAGACUCCUACGGGAGGCAGCAGUGGGGAAUAUUGCACAAUGGGCGCAAGCCUGAUGCAGCGACGCCGCGUGGGGGAUGACGGCCUUCGGGUUGUAAACUCCUUUCGCUAGGGACGAAGCUUUUUGUGACGGUACCUAGAUAAGAAGCACCGGCUAACUACGUG
This 465-nucleotide ribosomal RNA is filed under the name uncultured bacterium. RNAcentral's name for it is "partial 16S ribosomal RNA". It matches the Rfam family "Bacterial small subunit ribosomal RNA", at positions 28 to 507 of the family's 1533-position model. The record is from RNAcentral.